This 261-nucleotide ribosomal RNA is filed under the name uncultured bacterium. RNAcentral's name for it is "partial 16S ribosomal RNA". It matches the Rfam family "Bacterial small subunit ribosomal RNA", at positions 793 to 1055 of the family's 1533-position model. The record is from RNAcentral.
GUCCACGCCCUAAACGAUGCGAACUGGACGUUGGGAGCAACUAGGCUCUCAGUGUCGAAGCUAACGCGUUAAGUUCGCCGCCUGGGAGUACGGUCGCAAGACUGAACUCAAGGAAUUGACGGGGCCCGGCACAAGCGGUGGAGUAUGUGGUUUAAUUCGAUGCAACGCGAAGAACCUUACCUGGUCUUGACAUCCACGGAAGUCUGCAGAGAUGCGGAUGUGCCUUCGGGAACCGUGAGACAGGUGCUGCAUGGCUGUCGU